Long non-coding RNA from Micropterus dolomieu (smallmouth bass), 573 nucleotides. RefSeq lists it as uncharacterized. The record is from RefSeq and is a predicted model, not a curated record. The transcript is spliced from 2 exons. NCBI's taxonomy places the organism in Eukaryota, Metazoa, Chordata, Actinopteri, Centrarchiformes, Centrarchidae.
CGUGUUACUGGCAUCACUGGAACGGUUUGUUAUGAGACAUAAGCUGCAAGUUAGUUUUGUAGUUUUUUCAAGGUUGUCAAAUGCUACACGUGCUUGGAUAUACUUCCGGGAAACCGGCGCAGACGCACUGGAUUUGGUCCAUUGUCCUUGAGGAGAACUUAGUGGGUCUGUGGCAAGAGCGUAUUAAUGGUUUGCAGCUAUCAAAUACCGGCUCAUUGUGUACUGGGUAUGGAGGAAGACAUCUCACCCACUCCAAUGUGCCUGCAGCGGGGGUAAGAAUGAUUGAAGGCCUCCUCAGUGGAACAUGACUCCCUGGCUCAGCUGGUUCAGACCUGGCAGUAAAUGGACCACACUAUGCCAAAGAGGGAAGUUUCCAUCAGUUAAGAUGCCAUGGAGUGUGUGUGUAUGUGUGUGUAAAGGGUGCUGGAGGGCAGUUAGGCAUUUGAUUAUUGUGCAGUUGUUGUAAUGUUUACCAGUUGACACCGGUAUUUAUCACACUACAUCAGAAAGUCCUGACACCUUUACAGUUGUCCAUUUUUUUGCCUCAAGAAAAAGAAAUGUUCACCAGCAUCA